GAUGAACGCCGAGCGAUAGGCUUAACACAUGCAAGUCGAGGGGCGAGCAUAUUCGAAGCUUGCUUUGAAUGAUGGCGACCGGCGCACGGGUGCGUAACGCGUAUGUAACCUGCUUGUCAGAAGGGGAUAACCCGGUGAAAGUCGGACUAAUACCCUAUAUGCUCACGAGAGGCGCCUGCCUUGGUGAGGAAGGAUUUAUCACUGACAGAUAGACAUGCGUCCCAUUAGCUGGUUGGUAGGGUAACGGCCUACCAAGGCAACGAUGGGUAGGGGAACUGGGAGGUUUAUCCCCCACAUUGGUACUGAGACACGGACCAA
Molecule: ribosomal RNA, 318 nt
Filed under: uncultured bacterium
Lineage: Bacteria
Description: bacterial SSU rRNA
Rfam family: Bacterial small subunit ribosomal RNA
Source: RNAcentral